GAUGAACGCUGGCGGCGUGCCUAAUACAUGCAAGUCGAGCGAACAGACGAGGAGCUUGUUCCUCUGACGUUAGCGGCGGACGGGCGAGUAACAAGUGCAUAACCUACCUAUAAGACUGGGAUAACUUCGGGAAACCGGAGCUAAUAACAGAUAAUAUAUUGAACCGCAUGGUUCAAUAGUGAAAGACGGCUUUGCUGUCACUUAUAGAUGGUUUCGCGCCGCAUUAGCUAGUUGGUAAGGUAACGGCAUACCAAGGAAACGAAGCGUAGCCGACCUGAGAGUGUGAUCAGCCACACUGGAACUGAGACACGGUCCAGACUCCUACGGGAGGCAGCAGUAGGGAAUCUUCCACAAUGGGCGAAAGCCUGACGGAGCAACGCCGCGUGGGUGAUGAAGGUCUUCGGGUCGUAAAACUCUUUUAUUAGGGAAGAACAAAUGUAUAAGUAACUAUGCACGUCUUGACGGUACCUAAAGAAAAAGCCACGGCUAACUACGUG
This 497-nucleotide ribosomal RNA is filed under the name uncultured bacterium. RNAcentral's name for it is "partial 16S ribosomal RNA". It matches the Rfam family "Bacterial small subunit ribosomal RNA", at positions 28 to 507 of the family's 1533-position model. The record is from RNAcentral.